This 74-nucleotide transfer RNA is filed under the name Acidobacteriota bacterium. RNAcentral describes it as "Acidobacteria bacterium tRNA-Ala". It matches the Rfam family "tRNA". Rfam says of the family: Transfer RNA (tRNA) molecules are approximately 80 nucleotides in length. Lineage: Bacteria; Pseudomonadati; Acidobacteriota. RNAcentral also lists the same sequence under 1 other name. The record is from RNAcentral.
GGGGCUAUAGCUCAGUUUGGAAGAGCGCAUGACUGGCAGUCAUGAGGUCAGGGGUUCGAGCCCCCUUAGCUCCA